RNAcentral lists this long non-coding RNA (205 nucleotides) under Lathyrus oleraceus (garden pea). RNAcentral's name for it is "Pisum sativum (pea) long non-coding RNA (PSAT_LNC020145)". Lineage: Eukaryota; Viridiplantae; Streptophyta; Magnoliopsida; Fabales; Fabaceae. The record is from RNAcentral.
CGACUUUGACUUUGAAGAUCAUUCAAAGCCAUACGGUUGAUAAUGUUUGUGGCUUCUUCGGCACUUUUUGACAUCAACGAGCCACCCGAGGUGGCAUCCAACAACGUCUUACAGUUUGGUUGAAGUCCAUUUCUGAAGAUAUGGAUUUGAGUUAAUUCAUCAAAUCCAUGCCCUUUACAUUUCCUAAGCAUGGACUUGAAUCUCU